UAGGGAAUCUUCGGCAAUGGGGGGAACCCUGACCGAGCAACGCCGCGUGAGUGAAGAAGGUUUUCGGAUCGUAAAGCUCUGUUGUUAAGGAAGAACGUGUGUGAGAGUGGAAAGUUCACACAGUGACGGUACUUAACCAGAAAGGGACGGCUAACUACGUGCCAGCAGCCGCGGUAAUACGUAGGUCCCGAGCGUUGUCCGGAUUUAUUGGGCGUAAAGCGAGCGCAGGCGGUUAGAUAAGUCUGAAGUGAAAGGCAGUGGCUCAACCAUUGUAGGCUUUGGAAACUGUUUAACUUGAGUGCAGAAGGGGAGAGUGGAAUUCCAUGUGUAGCGGUGAAAUGCGUAGAUAUAUGGAGGAACACCGGUGGCGAAAGCGGCUCUCUGGUCUGUAACUGACGCUGAGGCUCGAAAGCGUGGGGAGCGAACAGGAUUAGAUACCCUGGUAGUCCACGCCGUAACGAUGAGUGCUAGGUGUUAGGUCCUUUCCGGGACUUAGUGCCGCAGCUAACGCAUUAAGCACUCCGCCUGGGGAGUACGACCGCAAGGUU
RNAcentral lists this ribosomal RNA (548 nucleotides) under uncultured bacterium. RNAcentral's name for it is "bacterial SSU rRNA". It matches the Rfam family "Bacterial small subunit ribosomal RNA", at positions 355 to 895 of the family's 1533-position model. The record is from RNAcentral.